RNAcentral lists this ribosomal RNA (440 nucleotides) under uncultured bacterium. RNAcentral describes it as "partial 16S ribosomal RNA". It matches the Rfam family "Bacterial small subunit ribosomal RNA", at positions 338 to 795 of the family's 1533-position model. The record is from RNAcentral.
CCUACGGGAGGCAGCAGUGGGGAAUAUUGCACAAUGGGGGAAACCCUGAUGCAGCGACGCCGCGUGAAGGAAGAAGUAUUUCGGUAUGUAAACUUCUAUCAGCAGGGAAGAAAAUGACGGUACCUGACUAAGAAGCCCCGGCUAACUACGUGCCAGCAGCCGCGGUAAUACGUAGGGGGCAAGCUUUAUCCGGAUUUACUGGGUGUAAAGGGAGCGUAGGCGGCGAUGCAAGUCAGAAGUGAAAGCCCGGGGCCCAAGUCCGGGACUGCUUUUGAAACUGUGUUGCUAGAUUGCAGGAGAGGUGAGUGGAAUUCCUAGUGUAGCGGUGAAAUGCGUAGAUAUUAGGAGGAACACCAGUUGCGAAGGCGGCUUACUGGACUGUAAAUGACGCUGAGGCUCGAGAGCGUGGGGAGCAAACAGGAUUAGAUACCCGGGUAGUC